Molecule: ribosomal RNA, 253 nt
Filed under: uncultured bacterium
Lineage: Bacteria
Description: partial 16S ribosomal RNA
Rfam family: Bacterial small subunit ribosomal RNA
Source: RNAcentral
UACGUAGGGUGCAGGCGUUAAUCGGAAUUACUGGGCGUAAAGCGUGCGCAGGCGGUCUUUUAAGUCAGAUGUGAAAUCCCCGGGCUUAACCUGGGAACUGCGUUUGAAACUGGAAGGCUAGAGUGUGGCAGAGGGGGGUGGAAUUCCACGUGUAGCAGUGAAAUGCGUAGAUAUGUGGAGGAACACCGAUGGCGAAGGCAGCCCCCUGGGCUAACACUGACGCUCAUGCACGAAAGCGUGGGGAGCGAACAGG